Molecule: ribosomal RNA, 422 nt
Filed under: uncultured Chryseobacterium sp.
Lineage: Bacteria; Pseudomonadati; Bacteroidota; Flavobacteriia; Flavobacteriales; Weeksellaceae
Description: bacterial SSU rRNA
Rfam family: Bacterial small subunit ribosomal RNA
Source: RNAcentral
UGAGGAAUAUUGGACAAUGGGUGAAAGCCUGAUCCAGCCAUCCCGCGUGAAGGAUGACGGUCCUAUGGAUUGUAAACUUCUUUUGUAUAGGGAUAAACCUAGAUACGUGUAUCUAGCUGAAGGUACUAUACGAAUAAGCACCGGCUAACUCCGUGCCAGCAGCCGCGGUAAUACGGAGGGUGCAAGCGUUAUCCGGAUUUAUUGGGUUUAAAGGGUCCGUAGGCGGACCGAUAAGUCAGUGGUGAAAUCUCAUAGCUUAACUAUGAAACUGCCAUUGAUACUGUCGGUCUUGAGUAAAUUAGAGGUAGCUGGAAUAAGUAGUGUAGCGGUGAAAUGCAUAGAUAUUACUUAGAACACCAAUUGCGAAGGCAGGUUACCAUGAUUUAACUGACGCUGAGGGACGAAAGCGUGGGGAGCGAACA